UGAACGCUAGCGGCAGGCUUAACACAUGCAAGUCGAGGGGUAUCACGCUUUCGGGCGUAGAGAGACCGGCGCACGGGUGCGUAACGCGUAUGCAAUCUACCUUUGCAGAGGAUAGCCCAGAGAAAUUUUGGAUUAAUACCUCAUAGUAUAGAACAAUCGCAUGAUUGAACUAUUAAAGUCACAACGGCAAAAGAUGAGCAUGCGUCCCAUUAGUUAGUUGGUAAGGUAACGGCUUACCAAGACUACGAUGGGUAGGGGUCCUGAGAGGGAGAUCCCCCACACUGGUACUGAGACACGGACCAGACUCCUACGGGAGGCAGCAGUGAGGAAUAUUGGACAAUGGGCGCAAGCCUGAUCCAGCCAUGCCGCGUGCAGGAUGACGGUCCUAUGGAUUGUAAACUGCUUUUGUACAGGAAGAAACACCUCUACGUGUAGAGACUUGACGGUACUGUAAGAAUAAGGAUCGGCUAACUCCGUG
This 478-nucleotide ribosomal RNA is filed under the name uncultured bacterium. Its description in RNAcentral is "bacterial SSU rRNA". It matches the Rfam family "Bacterial small subunit ribosomal RNA", at positions 30 to 507 of the family's 1533-position model. The record is from RNAcentral.